This 22-nucleotide microRNA is filed under the name Glycine max (soybean). RNAcentral describes it as "gma-miR4355". Lineage: Eukaryota; Viridiplantae; Streptophyta; Magnoliopsida; Fabales; Fabaceae. The record is from miRBase by way of RNAcentral.
CACUGUUGUGCUGGGUGUACCA